RNAcentral lists this ribosomal RNA (301 nucleotides) under uncultured bacterium. RNAcentral's name for it is "partial 16S ribosomal RNA". It matches the Rfam family "Bacterial small subunit ribosomal RNA", at positions 509 to 809 of the family's 1533-position model. The record is from RNAcentral.
CAGUAGCCGCGGGAAUACGUAGGUGGCAAGCGUUGUCCGGAAUUAUUGGGCGUAAAGGGCUCGCAGGCGGUUUCUUAAGUCUGAUGUGAAAACCCCCGGCUCAACCGGGGAGGGUCAUUGGAAACUGGGAAACUUGAGUGCAGAAGAGGAGAGUGGAAUUCCACGUGUAGCGGUGAAAUGCGUAGAGAUGUGGAGGAACACCAGUGGCGAAGGCGACUCUCUGGUCUGUAACUGACGCUGAGGAGCGAAAGCGUGGGGAGCGAACAGGAUUAGAUACCCGUGUAGUCCCUGUCUCUUAUAA